UGCCUCAUCUAAAGACCUAGUGUGGCAAAAAUAUAAAUUAUCUCAUCAAUAAUGUUGAAGUACGAUUCCAGGUUGAUAUGGUAAUAAUUUAGAUGCACCCGGGUUAAACAAAACAUAUUAUUAUAAUUAAUGUUACUUGUUUCUUUCUCCUUUCAAAUGUGACUACUAGAAAAUGGAAAUUACAUAUGUGGCUCACAUUGUGUUUCCUUUGGACAGUGCUGGUUCAGACCCCUGCGUCUGCCUACAGCACCCCCUGUGACCGCCUGUAACCACUUAGAUACUUUGGAAUAUGCACUGACAGCCCAUAUUAGCUCUGAGCUGGAGUUCACAGCCUGGAAACAAAGCAGUGAAAUGUUCUUCGGCAGGACCUGUGCAAGCUGCUAAGGCGAGGACACCAGGUCUCAGCUGGCAAGGGAGCCUCACCCCAGGAAGCAGCUGUUGGCAAGGCGCGCUCUCCUGCUUGGAUUUACUUUUGGAAGAAAUUUCUCUCCUCCCCUGCCCUGACAUGCCUUCAGCUUCCAGACAGUGGGCGUUGAAAGAAGGCUUUUCUUUAGCGUUCAGUGACUCCAUUUAUACUUCCAAGGCGUUGUCGAGUUUUCCCGAAAGCCUCUGUUUAGGAAUUUCAGGAGUUUCUUCUUAAAUUUUAUUUUAAGUCACCACUCCAAGCCAGCCCAUAAAAAGAAGCAGCAGGCGAGGAAGUGAAGAAAUGAAGCCCAACCAAAUCUUCAAUGUGAAAGAUUAAGCCCAGUUUUCCUUGCUGGAACGACAAGACAAACAUGAUCAAAAAUGGUGCUUGUUACUUCAUGUGAGGAGCCCCAAAGGAAAUUUCAGGGAAUCAGAGGCCUCUGGGAAAGGCAUGAUUCAUAGUGAAAGGAUAUGUCAUUUUCUUACUUAAAGGCAAUUAAAUGUCAUGACAUAAUCUCCAAGUUGUAUCUUAGUCUGACAUUUUUCAAGAUCCAGCAGAUAUUAACAGGCCACUCUUAGGGGCCUCAGCGAUGCAUAAGAUGUUUUCAACCUUUGUUCUGGGCUUUAUUCAUGCUUGAUCCGGGUCUGCUCCCAGUGUGUCUGUCUCUCUUCUUUUAUAAAAUCUGAAGAGAGGGUUGGAAUAAACAGUAGGAAUCAACUGGACCCA
Molecule: long non-coding RNA, 1132 nt
Filed under: Felis catus (domestic cat)
Lineage: Eukaryota; Metazoa; Chordata; Mammalia; Carnivora; Felidae
Description: lncRNA (ENSFCAG00000043451.2)
Source: RNAcentral